GUACGGGGCUGCUCACGAGAGAAGUUCCAGUGCUACGGACGGUCCUUGUAGAUCAUGCCAAUGAUUUUCCGCUUCCAAAUUUUGUACGGUUGUUGGCCAAAAUUGGAGGAUAAAAUUGUGCUCUACAUCAGCUGCUUGGUCACAACUUGGACAGUUGAGCUUGACUGAAGACCAGCAGCUGCACAUGGCUGGAGUAGUUGGCCCAUGACAGGAGUUUGCACUGUUGUAUUUGUGCCAUGGCUGCUGUUUGUAUGAGAACAAAUGCAAGUAUUGGUUGCGAAUGAAUUGCUGAACAAAUGCAAGUAACAGUUCUGCAGAUUAUCCUAAUGUGUCCAUGUCAGCCUUGUUACCCAACUCUCGUUCAUCCAAAUACAACCGAUUUUCUUGCUCCGAUGGUCCAAGCAGAUGGCCAGUCAA
This is a long non-coding RNA of Lolium rigidum, 417 nucleotides long. RefSeq lists it as uncharacterized. NCBI's taxonomy places the organism in Eukaryota, Viridiplantae, Streptophyta, Magnoliopsida, Poales, Poaceae. The transcript is spliced from 2 exons. The record is from RefSeq and is a predicted model, not a curated record.